UGAGGAAUAUUGGUCAAUGGACGCAAGUCUGAACCAGCCAUGCCGCGUGCAGGAAGACGGCUCUAUGAGUUGUAAACUGCUUUUGUACGAGGGUAAACGCAGAUACGCGUAUCUGUCUGAAAGUAUCGUACGAAUAAGGAUCGGCUAACUCCGUGCCAGCAGCCGCGGUAAUACGGAGGAUUCAAGCGUUAUCCGGAUUUAUUGGGUUUAAAGGGUGCGUAGGCGGUUUGAUAAGUUAGAGGUGAAAUGUUAGGGCUUAACCCUGAAACUGCCUCUAAUACUGUUGAGCUAGAGAGUAGUUGCGGUAGGCGGAAUGUAUGGUGUAGCGGUGAAAUGCUUAGAGAUCAUACAGAACACCGAUUGCGAAGGCAGCUUGCCAAACUAUAUCUGACGUUGAGGCACGAAAGCGUGGGGGAGCAAACAGGAUUAGAUACC
This 435-nucleotide ribosomal RNA is filed under the name uncultured bacterium. RNAcentral's name for it is "bacterial SSU rRNA". It matches the Rfam family "Bacterial small subunit ribosomal RNA", at positions 355 to 786 of the family's 1533-position model. The record is from RNAcentral.